AAAUGGAAGGUUUCGAAAGAAAUCCUCCAAUUUCCUUCCAUCGAUCCAAAUAUGUGCUCCGAAUGAGGAGCCCCAAUUGGGGCUCCCCGGGAGCCCCAAUUGAUGCCCCAUUUCCGCCCCCUACUAGACCCCCCAAGGGAUCUAGUAGAGAAAUAGAGUGGUCAGAGUGGUGAUAGGACAAGAUGAUUCCUAUGGGAGAAAUAUCUUCCUGGGACGGGAGUCCACAUUAUAAGAAUAGGGAGUGAGAUAGUAGGAAACAGAUAGGGUUAACCUGGUAGUUGAAAAGCAGGACACACAUCCAUACCUUUGGUAUCAGGGCAUGAGGACUCAUAUUCCUAAAGGAUAAUUCCCGAAAGGAAGUGAUUUCCUUUGAUACACCAUCUCCGUGAAAAUGUAGAGGGAAAUGUCGAAGGAGGGGUGAAAUGCCAUCCAAACUUCCUGAUAACUGGUUUCCCAAUUUAAUGCGCAAAACGCGAAAGAUAUGGAUUUUGGGGAUAAGCUCAGAAUCUUCUAGAAAUCCCUUAUCAGAGUUCUCUAGAAUAAGCCUUCUGCUUGAUAUUUAAAGAAUUUUUAUGGGGAUUCUCAAAGUUGAGAAGGAGUCUUGGGAUAAGGGGAGAAUCUUCUAUUCCUUUCAAGAAUCUCACGAUAAGUAUUUCACGAAAGCUUCAUCUCAAGGAACUCGGCAACCAAGGGGUUGGCCUGUUUAGUAAAAACACCUCCUGGGGAGGAAAAUCCCAGGUAUGACCUGCCCGGUGAGCAGACGCAUAAACGGCUGCAGGAUUUCUUACUGUACGAAGGUAGCAAAAGUAAUUUGCCUUUUAAUUGAAGGAUUGUAUGAAUGGUAGGACUAGACCCCGUCUGUCUCGGGAGAAGACGAAAGAAAUUGGAUUUUGAUUAAAAAUAAUCAGAUGUCCCGGUGGGACGAGAAGACCCUGAAGAUUUCUGUCUCUCAGAACCUCAGUAAAAGAAAAGUUCUCCAACAGAGGCUUUGUGAGACUUACCUGGGAAGGGGGAAAUAAACAUUUAAUACCCUAAAGGCCAACAAGCCAAGAACCAGAUCCCUGAGAAGGAAAAAGGAAGAAAAUACCUCAGGGGUAACAGCACAAUCCUCUUCUGCUGAUCUCAAGUAGGAAGAAAGGUUGUGACCUCGAUGUUGAAUUGGGUUCCCUCUGGAGAGAAGAAGACCUACGAGUCAGUCUGUUCGACUGUUAAAAACCCACAUGAUUUGAGUUUAGACCGACGUGAGUCAGGUCAGAUUCUAUCUACCGGAACUCCUGCUUCCCCCAAGUACGAAAGGACAGGAGGGACGGGUUGAAAACUUUCUCCCA
Molecule: ribosomal RNA, 1328 nt
Filed under: Bovicola caprae
Lineage: Eukaryota; Metazoa; Arthropoda; Insecta; Psocodea; Bovicoliidae
Description: 16S ribosomal RNA
Rfam family: Archaeal large subunit ribosomal RNA (bases 436-1328)
Source: RNAcentral